GUGCGUAAAAGAUCUCUUGCCGGGCGCCAACUGCAAAGACGGCGUGGUCUCAGCACCUUGAGUUGCAUAUUUCGAGUACAACGAUAUUACAGAAUCGUCGAUGAAACGAGGAGUUCUGCUUCCCCUAUCUGAGGCUCACACAGGCGGAGGUACACCGUACAAGGAAUUAAGUGGUUGCAGUAUGGAACGCAUGUUUGAUGACACGUCGUCCGCACUGGAGAGCAGCUGCGAAUUUCGUCAGCAAGAUCAGUCGGCCGGUGCAAGUGUUGACGAGUAUGUUGGCACACAUUGGAAGCCCGUAAAGGAGUGUAACUUCGUGACGGGGACUGAGGCUGUCACCGCCACAUCGACCCCGACCACGGCUUCAACAACAAUAACUCCAGGCAAAGCGUCCACCACCACGGCAGACCCUGUGCCGUGUAAAACUGUCAGCACCGAUCCCAGGGGUGAUACUGGUGCUUCAGAGAACACGCUUACUGUGCAGUCAGCCACCUCAACCCAGAAAGAAGCAAGAGAAGAAAUCCAACAGUCCACUCAUCAUAGACACGCUGAAUAUCCACUGCAAAAUUAUCUUUAUCUGAUCAGUCACAAAACUCGGUCUGGAAGGGCAGUCAAGAUGCCACAACGCUAUAAAGAUUUUGUAAUCGAAUAUAAAAGGAGGAGAUGCGGCGUAGUAGAAGAAUAGAGCAAUAUUCCACAAGGGUGUCAAUAUACACACCUAAAAGCGAGGCAGUUAUGAUAUAGGACGCAGCUACACCUAAAAGUUGUUUAGAACAGAGCAGAAGACAACCUUUCCCCGCGGGUGUCAUGUUAAGGGUGUUAAUAUAUACGCCUAAAAAUGGGUCAGUUGGUGUGAAUAAAAUACUUUUUGAAUUUGAAUUCUG
Molecule: long non-coding RNA, 884 nt
Organism: Ornithodoros turicata
Lineage: Eukaryota; Metazoa; Arthropoda; Arachnida; Ixodida; Argasidae
Exons: 2
Source: RefSeq, a predicted model, not a curated record